CGACGCUGGCGGCGUGCCUAACACAUGCAAGUCGUGCGAGAAAGUUCCUUCGGGAGCGAGUAAAGCGGCGCACGGGUGAGUAACACGUAGGUAACCUGCCCCCCAGUCUGGAACAACUAGAGGAAACUCUAGCUAAUGCCGGAUGAGACCACGAUCCCUUCGGGGGUUGCGGCCAAAGAUGGCCUCUACUUGUAAGCUAUCGCUGAGGGAUGGGCCUGCGGGCCAUUAGCUUGUUGGUGAGGUAACGACUCACCAAGGCUGUGAUGGCUAGCUGGUCUGAGAGGAUGACCAGCCACACUGGGACUGAGACACGGCCCAGACUCCUACGGGAGGCAGCAGUGGGGAAUAUUGCGCAAUGGGCGAAAGCCUGACGCAGCGACGCCGCGUGGGUGAUGAAGGCCUUCGGGUCGUAAAGCCCUGUCGCAGGGGAAGAAUAAGCAUCGGUAUAAUACGCCGGUGCCCUGACGGUACCCUGCAAGAAAGCACCGGCUAACUCCGUG
RNAcentral lists this ribosomal RNA (500 nucleotides) under uncultured bacterium. Its description in RNAcentral is "bacterial SSU rRNA". It matches the Rfam family "Bacterial small subunit ribosomal RNA", at positions 33 to 507 of the family's 1533-position model. The record is from RNAcentral.